CAUUUAGUGGGGGACAACAUUCCGAAAGGAAUGCUAAUACCGCAUACGUCCUACGGGAGAAAGCAGGGGAUCUUCGGACCUUGCGCUAAUGAUGAGCCUAAGUCGGAUUAGCUAGUUGGUGGGGUAAAGGCCUACCAAGGCCACGAUCUGUAGCGGGUCUGAAAGGAUGAUCCGCCACACUGGGACUGAGACACGGCCCAGACUCCUACGGGAGGCAGCAGUGGGGAAUAUUGGACAAUGGGCGGAAGCCUGAUCCAGCCAUGCCGCGUGUGUGAAGAAGACCUUAUGGUUGUAAAGCACUUUAAGCGAGGAGGAGGCUACUUAGAUUAAUACUCUAGGAUAGUGGACGUUACUCGCAGAAUAAGCACCGGCUAACUCUGUGCCAGCAGCCGCGGUAAU
RNAcentral lists this ribosomal RNA (399 nucleotides) under uncultured bacterium. RNAcentral's name for it is "bacterial SSU rRNA". It matches the Rfam family "Bacterial small subunit ribosomal RNA", at positions 130 to 524 of the family's 1533-position model. The record is from RNAcentral.